This is a non-coding RNA of Megalops cyprinoides (Indo-Pacific tarpon), 459 nucleotides long. The record is from the annotation of a RefSeq genome assembly. Lineage: Eukaryota; Metazoa; Chordata; Actinopteri; Elopiformes; Megalopidae.
AUGGCAAAAGAACCUACAACAAUGACUUUUAUCACCAUCUUCAUCUGGGCACUUGCCUUCUGCACUCAGGAAACUGCAGGGCAGUACACUGUGACUCAGACUCCUGCAGCGAAAACUGUUAUUCCAGGAGCGUCAGUGUCACUGAGCUGUAAAGUCAGCAGUGCUGUGUACAAAGAUUAUUAUGGCAACAACUACCUACACUGGUCCCUGCAGAAACCUGGAGAAGCUCCUAAACUCCUGAUCCAUACAGCAAGCACCCGUCACACGGGGACUCCAGAUCGAUUCAUUGUCAGUGGAUCUGGGACUGACUUCACUCUGACCAUCAGUGGAGUCCAGGCUGAAGAUGCAGGAGAUUACUACUGUCAGAGUUUUCAUUACCCUAAUAGUGUCCGAGUGUUCACACAGUGGGACCCCUCCUUGCUGUGGGAAGAUGCAAAAGAAGUGGACCUCCAGCGAUAA